UGCUACUACUAGGUUGGUGCAAAAGUAAUUGCUGUUUUUGCCCUUAAAAGUAAUGGCAAAAACUGCAAUUACUUUUGCACCAGCCUAA
Molecule: microRNA precursor, 88 nt
Filed under: Saimiri boliviensis boliviensis (Bolivian squirrel monkey)
Lineage: Eukaryota; Metazoa; Chordata; Mammalia; Primates; Cebidae
Description: miRNA (ENSSBOG00000009353.1)
Source: RNAcentral